UUUUCUUUUUAAACCCUACAUGCGAUGCCUUAUUUAAAAUAAUUCAGAUUGGAAGUGAAUUUCUAGAUAAUGGUGCUGUGGCUGCUAUCAAAUUUACGGAUGGUGAAUUCAGCGCUCUUGCUUUUUUACUGGCGAUGUUGCAAGUGUGAUGUGGGUGUUUUGCUUUUCUUUUUUUUUUCUUUUUUUCUUCCUGUUCAUGGUGAAAUUUUCUUAACAUCUACCACUACCAUCUGAAAAGGUCAACUCAGGAACUUGGAGAAGGUCAUGAACACCCCCCCCCCCCUUUCGAAGGGAGAGGCUAAUUAGCAUUUCUCAGACCACAGGGCCUGAACCGACCUGCAGGUGGGGACACAUUACACAGGACAGACCUUGCUCACUUUCAGACAAGGGAAGUCCUUGUCACCUCAUCCCUAAAGACCAAUCAGUUUAAAGGGUGCACCGUUCCGCCAAUCGUAUUGUGCCUAGUUGCUGAUGCUCUGUUCUUCCCCUGGAAACCAUAUAAAAACUCGCCGACCAGUACUAGUGGCCACCGCUUCUCCUUUGGGUCUGGGAUGACCCCAGUGCACUGGAACAAUAAAUUCCUCUUGCUUUUUGCAUCGAUUCUGGCUCCACGUGGUUCACUCAGGGGGUCCCUGGUAAGCUAAGGCUCCCCGGAGUCUUGCCUUUGGUGCAUUGGCCGGGAAGUGACUCCUUGUGGGAACACAAUGGAGUGGUGAAUCGGAGGUCUCGAGCUUUUACUGUGGUUCCUGUUUGUCUUUCUGUUCGUUAAAAUCUGAGUCUGUUAAGUAUGUUUGAACUUUCGCUUGCAAGCGCCCGGAUGCUUGGAGAGCCUACAGUGUCUGUGCAGUCAACUGCAACGGGGCAUGCCUUACGUGAUCGUGGGACGUGAAGCUGAAGGACGCUUCAGUUCUCCUUGGAGGGAGCCAGGAAGGCUCUGCUCCUUCUGGAACCGGCAAGACAAUAUCGGCAGGAGCCGAGUCUUGCUAUAACCUGGUUUAUCUGGCUCCUGUCGUAUGGGCCGGAGCACCUGGUGUCUGUAACUGGGCCCAUGAAAGGGGUAAACUGUGUGUUGAUUGUCUUUCUCUGUGUUCUUGGACCUGGAUGCCUGCCUGUGUCAGGGUCGAGCUAUCUGUGUGGUUGAUUGUUUUUCUCUGUGUUUGUUGGUAUCUAUUCUAUGUUCUUGGACUUAACUGACGGACAUUUUUUGGACAUUGGACAGACUAAAAAACAAGUUAGUUACCCUCUGCUCCUCCGAAUGGCCCACUUUUUGAAGUAGGGUAGCCACCUGUAGGGAUCUUCGAAUUACAGGUGAUGGAAGCAGGAGAGGAGAGAGUCUUUAGGCAAAGAUCCCUGGGGCGCCCAGACCAAUUGCCCUAUAUAGUUACCUGGAAAAUUCUAAUGGAGGACACCCCCUCAUGGAUAAAAGCCUUUCUUUCCCAAGACCCACCUCACAGGUUCUGGCUGUCAGGAAGAAGGGAGCACGGGAGGAGAGAUCCGGACAUGAGAAGAAGUCAAUCCUCCAAGACCCUUCACCAGCAGACCUGUUGCUCCAAAACCCUCCUCCAUAUCUCCCUACCCUUGCUUUCAUGGCCCCCGCCAGCGCCAGUACUGGUUCCGGGACCCUCAGCUCAUAGGAGACCAGGGCUAUUGCACCGCCUUUUACAGGAGGGAGAAGCUGGAGGAGACUCCCAACUUCCCGGCCCUAGAUGGGGACACAAAGUCUGAGAACCACCUCCCCUGAUAUCACGGUGGCUCUCCCAUUAAGGGCCGGUUAAUCUCUUUGAGACUGUUUUAUUUGUAAUGCAGGGAGCCAGAAGCCAGAAAGAAUACCCACUUGGACAAGGUGGUGGUGGUGGGGGGCACCAUCCAUUGACCAUGCUAUCGCGGACAGUGGGGGUUUCCCUGACUAGACCUGACUGGGACUUUAAUAUGAUAAAAGGUACGGGGCACCUAAAGGUCCCCCACCAGACUCCACUGGCAGGUCUCGAGGGCUGCAUGACCACCCACAAAUUUGACCAAGCUACGUGAGGUUAAGCAGAGACCAGAUGAGUUGCCCGCAGCCGUUUUAGAGUGCCAAUAAACACCCUAUGACCCUACCAGCAAAGAGCAUAAAACUACUGUGACCAUGGCUUUUAUAGACCAGGCCUGCAAGAAACACCCAUUGGGAAAUGGGACUGGACUAAGAGAUGGCUUCAUUUAAAAUAUAUUGAAGAAGAAAGGACUCAGAUUGCUAGCUACCCUACCAACGAUUACCCAGAGAAGGUAGGACCAUAGCGCACACAAGAAGGGAGAACUAUAUUUCCCAGAAAGCAAGCAAAAGAUUUAUUAGGCCAAAUGCACCAAUGGACUCAUUUAGGGGAUAAAAAGCUUGUCCAAGAUUGUCUAAGCAGUUAAGAGACCUAAAGUAUAUAUAAUGGACCUCAGGUUCUGGGCCAAGAGAUAGAACAGUGUAAGGUACACCAGCAAGUAAAUGCUUAUGCAGCCAAGAGUAAACAGGGCAAAAGGCCUAGGGGAGAGCAGCCUGGGGUUUACUGGGAGGUCGGUUUUACAGAAGUUAAGCCAGGAAAAUAUGGUUACAAAUACCUUCUAGUGUUUGUAGUUUUCCCUGGAUGGGUUGAGACAUUCCCCACCAAGCAGGAAACAGCUACCAUGGUAGCUAAGAAGAUUUUAGAAGAAAAAUGUCCAGAGGUUCGGAGUGCCCAAGGUAAUUGGAUUGGACAAUGGUCCUGCUUUCGUCUCUUAAGGUAAGUCAGGGAUUGGCAGAGAUAUUGGGGACUAAUUGGAAGCCCCAUUGUGUGUAUUGUCCCCAGAGUUCAGGGCAGGUAGUGAGAAUGAACAGAACCCCUACAAGACACCUUGACUAAGUUGACCUUGGAGACUGGCUCGGACUGGUUGGUGCCCCUCCCCUUGUCCCUGAACACCCCCUACCAUUUUAACCUGACCCCUUUUGAGAUCCUGCAUGGGACACCCACUCCCUUGGCUCUUGAUCCCCCCCAGAGUGACUUUUCAGGCUGACAAGGAUCUUAUGGCUUGAUUGCAAGCUUCCCAGAUCAGCCACCUGGAAUUGUGGCCUAAACUUAGUUCCCUGUAUGAUGCAGGUACCCCAGAGUUUCCACACAAGUUCCAAGUUGGAGAUUGGAUAUAUGUUAGGAGACAUUGUGCUGAACACUCAGAAACAAAGAACCAUUCCUGUGUUGCUGACCACCCUGACCUCCGUUAAACUGGAUAGAGUAACUGCCUGGGUUCACAUCAGAUCAGCCAUCUAGAUGGCAGCCAGACACCCAAGCUAUGCCCUUCUGCAAGGCCAGAGAAACUACAAGACUAUGGUGUAUCUUUCAGUGUUGAGCCUCAGCAGCCCUCACAACCCUGCCAGGGUAGCUUGGCAGGUGCUCUCAGCCACUGGUGAUGUGGCUUGGUCCACUACCUGCAUUGUAUCUGGUGGCUGGAGCCUGUCUUUUAUUUCUAUGAUUUAGCAGUGGGCCUUGACUUCUGGGGUGUCGCUGCCCUGGAGACACAGGGGGAGGGAUUGCCUGAAUGUGGGGGACGAGGGACUUGUAAAUCUAAACUGUGUUCCAGAAGUGGGCUUAGAGGGUGGGGCUUAGGGUGCAGACACACAAAAUUGAAGUGUCCCAUGAGAAACCCCCAUAUAUGUGUAUCCCUGAGAUGGGAGAAGUCAGUGGCAGUCUCAUCAGUGUUAGGGGGCCAACCAUUUCUUCUAUGCUACCUGGGGGUGUGAAGCAUCGUGAAGCACAUACUGGAGACCAUUCUGGGGGAUAGUUAAAGAUUCAAUGGCCAAGGUGAGAGAAGGGGUAGCUAGGCAGAAGAGAGGACAGAGACAGGGCUGGUUAGCCAGGCAGAAGAGAGAACAGAGAUAGAGUCUUGGUUUAACAGCUCCCCCUGGGUUACUACCUUGAUUUCUGCAUUGUUAGGACCCCUGAUCAUUUUGUUCCUGCUUCUGACCUUCGGCCCUUACACUGUAAACCGCUUAGCUGCUUUUAGUAAAGUUCGCAUAGGUGAUGAUACAGUUGAUGGUCCUGAGACAAAGGUAUCAAGAGCUAAGUGCAGAGGACCAGGGAUAUGAGCUGCAUAACUAUCCACAAGAGCUUCAAGGAUGAAGCAUGCACAAAGAAAAGGGGGGGGGGUGAUGAAAAGGUCAGCUCAGGAACUUUGGGACAGUCAUGAAACACUCUUCCCCGACCCCCAGAAGGGAGAUGCUAAUUAGCAUUUCUGACCUGUGGUAACUGACCUGCUCACCUUCAGACAAGGGAAGUCCUUCUCACCUCAUUCCCUAAAGAGCAAUCAGUUUAAAGGGUGCACUGUUCAGCCAAUCAUAUUGUGCUGAAUGGGUGCUGGGGGGGGGGGUGUUGCUGCCUCUCCUUCGUGUCUGGAACGACCCCAGUGCACUGGAACAAUAAAUUCCUCUUGCUUUUUGCAUCGAUUCCAGCUCUGCCUGGUUCACUCAGGGGGUAAGCUAAGACUCCCUAGUGUCUUACACAUCCACCCCCUAGCCCUCUAAAUGAGUCCAGGUAAAGAUGUUAUUUAGCAAAUUAAUUUACCAUCUUAGUAUUUUAUGAUAAAGGUUUGAUAAAAUAUUAGAUAAAACAUACACACAAACACAUAUACAUUUACACACAUACGUAUACACAUAUAUUUGUGAUGCUUGUGAUGUGCCAUGCUUUUAUAUAAAUUUGUUAUCUUGAUAAAGCCAGAUAAAUAAAUGCUCAUAUUUGUGCCUAAUAAUUCAACUCUUUGCUUUUUACAAGGCCAGAGCAAGGCUGAAAGGAAAUUCAUCUCAAAGCUAUUAAGAAAAGCCAGAUAGAAAGGGAACAUAAAAAGAAAUGAGCUACGGCCAAAGGACCAGACCCUCCCUCAGCCAGCCUUCCAUCAUCCCAGCUCCCCAGAUGGAACAAAGAUUUAGAGUUUCAGACAGAACCCAGAACAGAAAGGAGGGAAGUGGGGCUGCCAGUGUGAGAACCAGGUCUGCUAAUUUAUUCUAUGUUCUUAGACACAGGAAGACAAAGAAACCACCUGGCCAUGACCUAGCUGAAUCAGAAUAACUCCCAGACUGUCCCUGUGGCCUCCACCGGAUGCACCUGAAAAUCAGUUUUUGUGUCCUCGAGUCUGUCUCCCGUGUAAGAGACAAAGCAGAGUAAUGAAACCACUGUGUAACUCCUCAGUGUCGGCAGGGCAGGCUGGACCUUUGCUCUACCCAGACAGAAAUUACUAGUAGGGGCAUUCUGGGAUCUGACUGGACGAAGCCUUGCGUAUACCACAGGCUGAAGGAGGAGGAGGAGGAAGGCCAGGAAUGCUGGUGUGAAUCUUCAAGGGCCGGCAAACUGAAAUCAUGGGAGAAAUGCCAGCUACCACUAAUAUCCAGGACCCGGAGCCAUGGGCUGAAAGGGUGGGUUCAGGACCUUUUGGAAAAUGUCACCAGACCCCUCCCCUCCAGAAGGGGAAGGCUAAUUAACAUUCCACAGGACAGACUGACCAUCAGCCACCUGCCAGUGGGAGAGGCCUAGAGCAGGUAAACACAUUCCACAGGACAGACCGACUAACGGACCAUCUACAUCCACAGACAAGGGAAGUCCCUGCCACCUCAUUCUCUAAAG
Molecule: long non-coding RNA, 5609 nt
Organism: Mus musculus (house mouse)
Lineage: Eukaryota; Metazoa; Chordata; Mammalia; Rodentia; Muridae
Product: predicted gene, 31499
Exons: 3
Source: RefSeq, a predicted model, not a curated record